AAACCUGCCGCCCCAGAGCCACGUGCUGAAGCCGGCGCUGGGUGGGUGGCUGGCCCCGCCCCGAGUGGCUCGGGGAAGGGGGGCUUGCUGGGAACCGCAGCAGGCCAAGUUCCCUGGGGAGGGAGAGAACUCGAGGUGGACACCCUCGACCCCAGGGCACCAGGGAACAAAUGUGUCUGGAGUAGGAGGUCCAGUUCCCUUCGAUGGGGGCAGCUCUGGCCGAGCCUGAAGAAAUGCACUGGCCUAACCUAACUUUCUCCCCUGACCGUGGUGGGAUGGGGUGGAAGCUGGAGACCACCCCGACCUCAUACCCUUCAAAAAGGAUGUAUGUCCCAGGGUUUACAGAACCUCAGUAAAUAGAGGGUGGGUGGCGGUUUAGUGAAGGGGGUGGUUGGUGGUAGGAAGAUGGAAGGAAGCUGUAUAAAAAGAGGAAAGAAGAAUUGUAAGAACAUGUGAAGUGCAGAACUGGACUCCUUGCAAAGCCACGGCUCAACAAGUGAUGCCAGCCCGGGAGGGGGCUGUCCGUGUCUCAUCUUGCAGGCAGAAGUAGCACAACAGCUGGGUGAACAAAACCCGCCCGGAUCUGUCCAGAACUGUUUGUCAGUACAGCCUCAACAGGGACCAUGCUGAGAACUCCCUUGGUAGGGGUUACCUCCUCCACCAUUUCACAUUCUGAUUUCUCGUGUUUCUGGUUCGGGCUCAGUUCAGUUGCCACCUUCUCUGGGAAGCGCCUUUCUCCUGCCCCAUCGUCUGAGUGCACUUGGCCCAUGCAUCCAGCCCAGCCUCUGGGUCCUUGGUUCAUCAUCCUCACGGAUUCCAGCGGCCAUUCGGCAGAAAGUCUUUGCUCCUUCCCUUAGCAAUUGGAACAAGGACAGAGGGUCAAUGGAAUUUCAGUGCAACUCACUAAAACUAGCCCGUUGUGUGUACAUCCAUACUCAAGAAUACAGAUGGACUUCAUUAAAGCUAUCGUGUCCUGUGGAAAUACAUUCAUACAAAAAAUAUUAGGGGCCGUCUCUCUCUCUCUUUUUUCCCCCCCUUGAGCGGCUGUGUCUCUUCACAAAACUUUUUCAAAGACUAUUAAAUGUAAGAUUCCUCAUAUGCAUUUACAAGUCUUACUUUUGUUUUUGUUUUUGUUUUUUGGGGGCAACUUUUGGGGGAAAGAUGUUGAAAGUGAGAUAUAAGAUCAAGAGAUGAAUUAGCAGAGAUUUGACUAUUUUCAGGGGUCAUGUAACAAAAUUCUGUAUUACUGCAGAUACCAGAAAACUGAGCUAAAUUAGGAAUAUCUGUCUCCUGAAGUUUGGCCUAACUCCUCAAAACAUCUGUCAUCCGCUGGUAGCAUUUAUCACUCCACAGAGAAGCGAAUCUCCUCUAUGCCGUCCUUGGCCACGUAAUAGAGCAGAGAGCCCAGGACACUGUUAGAAAAUCUUGGCUCUACCUCUGGCUCUGCCAUGUGUGAGCUUUGCUACCUUGGGCCACCUGCUAGUCUGCUUGAGCCUUGGUUUUACUUACCUGUAAUAUAGGGAUCAUUCCAUCUAUGUCUUAGGGCCCAUGUGAAGACCAGAAGAAUAAGAGACACUCAGUAAAGGGUACUCAAUAAAGAGUAGCUUCAAGUGUUUUAGACUUUUUUU
This is a long non-coding RNA of Ursus maritimus (polar bear), 1628 nucleotides long. NCBI's taxonomy places the organism in Eukaryota, Metazoa, Chordata, Mammalia, Carnivora, Ursidae. The record is from Ensembl.